Molecule: non-coding RNA, 811 nt
Organism: Mus caroli (Ryukyu mouse)
Lineage: Eukaryota; Metazoa; Chordata; Mammalia; Rodentia; Muridae
Source: RefSeq, a predicted model, not a curated record
GAGAUACAUCAAACCAGGAGACUCUGGCAGCUGAGCUGCUUCGGAUCUUUGGAUCAAACAUGACUCACUACAAGUGCUUUUUUUGACAUUUCAACUGUUUCUCUCACAAUUCUUCCUGGAACUACUACCACAGAAGACAGGACAACUGCUGGUGGGCUUGCUGGCACCAGCUUUCUGACUAACCUUCUCAGCCCAGUCCCUGGAAGACACUUCAUCAGGUAUAACCUAAGAAAUGGCCCUCUGUUGGGCCAUUCUAACCAGAACCUGUGGGUAAGUACCCACUGCCUAGUCAAACGCAGACCUACAAGGCUCACUGACCAGGUUUCCAGCCCAUCUCAGACCAGAAAUGCAGAUGGUCACCUUGGAGAACUAACAGGUCAUGAGUUUCCAUAUGUCAGCACAGUCCAUUACAUGAACUGGAUCCAAGAAAUAAGAAGGUCUGUGGAGAGGCCACAUUAUCAUGGUGGGACGAGACAUGUACCCCAGCUGAGAAAAGAGCGGGAGAAGAGGGCUUGUGAUCUUAUAUCCUUGUCAAGGGUGUCCAGUGAUGGGCCAGCGAGAUGGUUCAGUGGACAGAGUCACUGACAACUGGAGUGUGGUCUCUGGAAUAUACAUGGUGGAAGGAGAGAACUGACGCCUCAAGUUGUCCUUUAACCGCCACAUGAACGCCACAGCUCACUGCACACAUGCCUCCACAAUCAAUCAAUCAACCACUCAAUCAAUCAAUCGAUAAACAAAUGUAUUAGGAUGCUAAAAGAAUAAAAGUAAAAUCCCAGAGAGGAGGUGACUGGGAUUUUUGCAGUUGGUGGUA